RNAcentral lists this ribosomal RNA (363 nucleotides) under uncultured bacterium. RNAcentral's name for it is "bacterial SSU rRNA". It matches the Rfam family "Bacterial small subunit ribosomal RNA", at positions 8 to 353 of the family's 1533-position model. The record is from RNAcentral.
AGAGUUUGAUCCUGGCUCAGGAUGAACGCUAGCUACAGGCUUAACACAUGACAAGUCGGAGGGGAAACGACAGUACGAAAGCUUGCUUUUGAUGGGCGUCGACCGGCGCACGGGUGAGUAACGCAUAUCCAACCUCGCCCACCACUUGGGGAGUAACCUUGCGAAAGUAAGACUAAUACCCAACUGAUAUCUCUAGAAGACAUCUGAAAGAGAUUAAAGAUUUAUCGGUGAUGGAUGGGGAUGCGUCUGAUUAGCUUGUUGGCGGGGUAACGGCCCACCAAGGCAACGAUCAGUAGGGGUUCUGAGAGGAAGGUCCCCCACAUUGGAACUGAGACACGGUCCAAACUCCUACGGGAGGCAGCA